Long non-coding RNA from Onychostoma macrolepis, 733 nucleotides. RefSeq lists it as uncharacterized. The record is from RefSeq and is a predicted model, not a curated record. NCBI's taxonomy places the organism in Eukaryota, Metazoa, Chordata, Actinopteri, Cypriniformes, Cyprinidae. The transcript is spliced from 4 exons.
UCCUAGCCAAAUCGGCCUAGAAAAUCGCAACUUUUCAUUUUCCGCCGGUCUUACUACACGAUAUAACUACAGAAAAGUCUCGUGUACAUCAACCAGCGCCUGCUGGUGCUCUUGAGACCGAUGGAGGGAGACCGCAGAAGAGCUUCUGGAGGUGGCCCGCUCUUCACUUUCCUUCCCGCAGAGCUGGAACAUAUGACCUGGCCAAAGCUGAGGAGAAAUACGGGAUAGAGGCGGGAACACACUGGAGAGAUAGCGAUGGCCAGAGUGAACAUGAACCCUGUGUACAACCCAAAGUCACCCCCAUCACGUCUGAGAGCCGUCAUCCGAAUCCGUCUGCUGGUGCUGUAGAGACUGAUGGAGGGAGAAAGAAGGCAGGGAAAGAGGAGAAGAAGAACAGCUUCUGGAGGUGGCCCGCUCUUCGCUUUCCUUGCAGCAGAGCUGGAACAUAUGAUCUGGCCAAAACUGAGGAGAAAUACGGGAUAGAGGCGGGAACACACUGGAGAGAUAGUGAUGCUCCAGCUCCUGAAGUCCUCCGUGCUGCUGAGGAACAGCAGAAACACAAUGUCCUAGACAAGGAUAUUUCCCAAGUGAUGUUUAACAGAGCAAGUGAAUUUUGACACAGUAUUUCUUAUUAUAUUUUUCAUCUGGAGAAAGUCUUAUUUAUUUCAAGUUGCCUGGCAUAAAAUAAUUAUUAAAAAAAAAUUCAAAUUUUUUUAAAUUGCAAGGUCAAUAU